CGCCCGUCACAUCACGAAAUGGGUUGUACUAGAAGCGGCAGAGCUAACCCGUAAGGGAGGCAUGUCUCUACGGUAUGAUUCAUGAUUGGGUG
Molecule: ribosomal RNA, 92 nt
Filed under: uncultured bacterium
Lineage: Bacteria
Description: partial 16S ribosomal RNA
Source: RNAcentral